AUGAUCGCCAAUGAUGACGACACAUAUGACCCCAUGAGUGAGGAAGAAUUGGAAGCACUUGAGCACGUGGCUAUGCACCGGCGAGUGAAUGAAGACGAAGAUGACCAAGUGUUUUGUGACAAUGAUUCAAGUCCCGCUCUUGUUGUCUCCAAGGUCUUGAUGCUUCAACACCAACAAGACGAAGACCAACGUUGCCACAUCUUCCACGCCAAAGCGGGCAUCAAUGGACGUUGUGUGAAGGUCAUCAUCGACGGAGGAAGUUGCCACAAUUUGGCAAGUGAAGAGCUAUGUUCCAAGCUACAAUUGAUCAAGAUGAAGCAUCCUCAUCCCUACAAGGUCCAAUGGAUCAGCGACUUCGACACCAUUCAAGUGGAGCACACCAUUCAAGUCUCUUCAAGAUUGGAGCAUACGAAAACAUAUUGGAGUUUGAUGUGGUUCCCUUGUCCGCUUGCCACCUCCUACUUGGAUGACCUUGGCAAUUUGACCACGGCAUCAUCCACAAUGGGCAUACAAUCACUACAACUUCAAGAUGAAGGGAAAGGAGUACGUGCUACGACCUAUGUCGCCAAGCUAGGUGAUCGCUGA
RNAcentral lists this ribosomal RNA (585 nucleotides) under Triticum aestivum (bread wheat). Its description in RNAcentral is "partial small subunit ribosomal RNA". The record is from RNAcentral. Lineage: Eukaryota; Viridiplantae; Streptophyta; Magnoliopsida; Poales; Poaceae.